RNAcentral lists this ribosomal RNA (553 nucleotides) under uncultured archaeon. Its description in RNAcentral is "bacterial SSU rRNA". It matches the Rfam family "Archaeal small subunit ribosomal RNA", at positions 876 to 1429 of the family's 1478-position model. The record is from RNAcentral.
GCACCACAAGGCGUGAAGCGUGCGGUUUAAUUGGAGUCAACACCGGAAACCUUACCGGGGGCGACAGCAGGUUGAAGGCCAGAUUGACGAUCUUGCCAGACAAGCUGAGAGGAGGUGCAUGGCCGUCGCCAGUUCGUGCCGUGAGGUGUCCUGUUAAGUCAGGCAACGAUCGAGACCCACGUUCCCUGUUGCUACCAAAGAAAGUUUCCAAGGGGCACACUGGGAGGACAGCCGCCGAUAAGGCGGAGGAAGGAGUGGGCCACGGCAGGUCAGUAUGCCCCGAAUCCCCCGGGCCACACGCGUGCUGCAAUGGCCGGUACAAUGGGUUCCGACCUCGUGAGAGGAGGGUAAUCCCUAUUUUCGAUCGUAGUUUGGAUCGAGGGCUGCAGGGGGGCCCUCGUGAAACUGGAAUGCCUAGUAAUCGCGUGUCAUUAACGCGCGGUGAAUACGUCCCUGCUCCUUGCAUACACCGCCCGUCGUUCCACUCGAGUGGGUUUUGGGUGAGGCGCGGUCCUUGGUGGCUGUGUCGAGCCUGAGGUUCGCGAGAAGGGGA